AAGCUAGUAAGAUCCCAUGUAGACGACAUGGUAGAUAGGCCAGGUGUGGAAGAGCCGUGAGGUUUGGAGCUGACUGGUACUAAUCGAUCGAGGGCUUUACUUA
Molecule: ribosomal RNA, 103 nt
Filed under: Veillonella parvula
Lineage: Bacteria; Bacillati; Bacillota; Negativicutes; Veillonellales; Veillonellaceae
Description: partial 23S ribosomal RNA
Rfam family: Bacterial large subunit ribosomal RNA
Source: RNAcentral